RNAcentral lists this ribosomal RNA (492 nucleotides) under uncultured bacterium. RNAcentral describes it as "partial 16S ribosomal RNA". It matches the Rfam family "Bacterial small subunit ribosomal RNA", at positions 29 to 507 of the family's 1533-position model. The record is from RNAcentral.
AGUGAACGCUGGCGGUAGGCCUAACACAUGCCAGUCGAACGGCAGCACAGUAAGAGCUUGCUCUUACGGGUGGCGAGUGGCGGACGGGUGAGGAAUACAUCGGAAUCUACUUUUUCGUGGGGGAUAACGUAGGGAAACUUACGCUAAUACCGCAUACGACCUACGGGUGAAAGCAGGGGAUCUUCGGACCUUACGCGAUUGAAUGAGCCGAUGUCGGAUUAGCUAGUUGGCGGGGUAAAGGCCCACCAAGGCGACGAUCCGUAGCUGGUCUGAGAGGAUGAUCAGCCACACUGGAACUGAGACACGGUCCAGACUCCUACGGGAGGCAGCAGUGGGGAAUAUUGGACAAUGGGCGCAAGCCUGAUCCAGCCAUACCGCGUGGGUGAAGAAGGCCUUCGGGUUGUAAAGCCCUUUUGUUGGGAAAGAAAAGCAGCAGGUUAAUACCCCGCUGUUCUGACGGUACCCAAAGAAUAAGCACCGGCUAACUUCGUG